GACGAACGCUGGCGGCGUGCCUAAUACAUGCAAGUCGAACGCUUUUUCUUUCACCGGAGCUUGCUCCACCGAAAGAAAAAGAGUGGCGAACGGGUGAGUAACACGUGGGUAACCUGCCCAUCAGAAGGGGAUAACACUUGGAAACAGGUGCUAAUACCGUAUAACACUAUUUUCCGCAUGGAAGAAAGUUGAAAGGCGCUUUUGCGUCACUGAUGGAUGGACCCGCGGUGCAUUAGCUAGUUGGUGAGGUAACGGCUCACCAAGGCAACGAUGCAUAGCCGACCUGGGAGGGUGGUCGGCCACACUGGGACUGAGAAACGGCCCAGACUCCUACGGGGGGCAGCAGUAGGGAAUCUUCGGCAAUGGACGAAAGUCUGACCGAGCAACGCCGCGUGAGUGAAGAAGGUUUUCGGAUCGUAAAACUCUGUUGUUAGAGAAGAACAAGGAUGAGAGUAAAAUGUUCAUCCCUUGACGGUAUCUAACCAGAAAGCCACGGCUAACUACGUGCCAGCCGCCGCCGUAA
Molecule: ribosomal RNA, 523 nt
Filed under: uncultured bacterium
Lineage: Bacteria
Description: partial 16S ribosomal RNA
Rfam family: Bacterial small subunit ribosomal RNA
Source: RNAcentral